This 406-nucleotide ribosomal RNA is filed under the name uncultured bacterium. RNAcentral's name for it is "partial 16S ribosomal RNA". The record is from RNAcentral.
AAAGUGCUUUACAAUCCGAAGACCUUCUUCACACACGCGGCAUGGCUGGAUCAGGCUUUCGCCCAUUGUCCAAUAUUCCCCACUGCUGCCUCCCGUAGGAGUCUGGACCGUGUCUCAGUUCCAGUGUGACUGAUCAUCCUCUCAGACCAGUUACGGAUCGUCGCCUUGGUAGGCCUUUACCCCACCAACUAGCUAAUCCGACCUAGGCUCAUCUGAUAGCGUGAGGUCCGAAGAUCCCCCACUUUCUCCCACAGGACGUAUGCGGUAUUAGCGCCCGUUUCCGGACGUUAUCCCCCACUACCAGGCAGAUUCCUAGGCAUUACUCACCCGUCCGCCGCUGAAUCCAGGAGCAAGCUCCCUUCAUCCGCUCGAUCUUGCAUGUGUUAAGGCCUGCCGCCACGCGUUC